Long non-coding RNA from Acanthaster planci (crown-of-thorns starfish), 343 nucleotides. NCBI's taxonomy places the organism in Eukaryota, Metazoa, Echinodermata, Asteroidea, Valvatida, Acanthasteridae. The record is from RefSeq and is a predicted model, not a curated record.
CACAAUCGGCAUGUGACAGAACGUAACAGGAAACGUGCGAACAAGAAGAAACCAACUGUGGUGACGACAAUGUUCAUUAAUGUAGAGGUCUUUGUCGGAAGAAGAAAUCAAGAAAACGAAACAAACUAACCUGUGCUGUCACGUGGAGCCUCUUAUGAUUGACCAAGACGACCCUGGGACUUUUAUGGAAGUGGCGGCCCCACUCCAUCUGAAUACAAUACCGACGAAAUGGAAAAAAGGUGGGUACCCACAACUUACUCUGGUCAAUCUAUGAGACUCAUCUACACGGAGAGUGUAAACAAAUCCUGACUGUCACAGAAGCAAAAGGCAAGGAUUUGCACGA